RNAcentral lists this ribosomal RNA (478 nucleotides) under uncultured bacterium. RNAcentral describes it as "partial 16S ribosomal RNA". It matches the Rfam family "Bacterial small subunit ribosomal RNA", at positions 28 to 523 of the family's 1533-position model. The record is from RNAcentral.
GACGAACGCUGGCGGCGUGCUUAACACAUGCAAGUCGAACGGUAAGGCCCUUCGGGGUACACGAGUGGCGAACGGGUGAGUAACACGUGGGUGAUCUGCCCUGCACUUCGGGAUAAGCCUGGGAAACUGGGUCUAAUACCGGAUAGGACUCCGGACUGCAUGGUCUGGGGUGGAAAGCUUUUGCGGUGUGGGACGGGCCCGCGGCCGAUCAGCUUGUUGGUGGGGUGAUGGCCUACCAAGGCGACGACGGGUAGCCGGCCUGAGAGGGUGACCGGCCACACUGGGACUGAGAUACGGCCCAGACUCCUACGGGAGGCAGCAGUGGGGAAUAUUGCACAAUGGGCGCAAGCCUGAUGCAGCGACGCCGCGUGAGGGAUGACGGCCUUCGGGUUGUAAACCUCUUUCAGCACAGACGAAGCGCAAGUGACGGUAUGUGCAGAAGAAGGACCGGCCAACUACGUGCCAGCCGCCGCGGUAA